GUUAAUAAGAAGCUUAAAAUCCUGAUAAUUCUUCAUAGAAAUAUGAUAGAGAAAAUGUACCUAUUGGAUAGAAUGACUUAUUCAAUUGUCAGAACCAUUGUCUUCUAAUACUAUGAGUUAAGACCAAAUUAUUUUUGUUGUCAUUCUUCUGUCACAGAUGUUUCGUAGUUAAGCAACAAAGUACAUAAGACAUUGGAAAUGCGUGCAGUGCUUGCUAGGUUGUUCACUUUUGCGUUAUGCUGCAAAAAAUCAUGCUUGAUUUUCUCUCUGCCCAUUCACUUGAUUAUGAAAAGAUAUAUCCCAGGAACAUGGUUUCCCCUGCUCUAUCUCAUUUCAUACCAAAGUGAGGCACAUGUUCUCCUUUUUACAUCACUUGCCUUGUGUUUCUCUGAUGUCAGUACCUGUUGUUGGAGAAAAUUAGGAGAGAAGGUAGGAAGGGAACUCUAACUUAUAUUAUAUUACUCUCAAAUGAGAGGAAGUCCUGGACUUGGACUUGUAUUGCAAUUCACUCAACACAUAUAUUUAUACUAGUGUAUGGAUAAUUCUAGAUACUUAAUAGGAUAACAAUAUCAUUAAUACUUAUGCUUGCACCUAUAAGACUUAAAAAGACACAUUGGAAUUAUUUCGCAAAUGUUUUGUCGGUCAAGAAUCGAUGCAUUCCUGUUUUCUGUUUCAUGCCAUCCCUUGUUUGUUUACUCCUUUUCGUUUCCUUUGAACAGUUGGCAGCCCUGAGUAACGAGCACAUGAGAUGGCUUGACACCGAGGAAGUAAGAAGCGGAAACGUUUCACGUAUUUGUAAUCUUAUUCAUCGAUUCUGAUAUACGUGUCCUCGAAGUAAAUGUAAACAGUGAAGGUAAUUACAACAGACAAUAAUGGAUGAUCAUGUUUUAGGAAGGUUCUGUAAUUCUUCUAAAAAAA
This is a long non-coding RNA of Populus euphratica (Euphrates poplar), 918 nucleotides long. RefSeq lists it as uncharacterized. The transcript has 2 exons. The record is from RefSeq and is a predicted model, not a curated record. NCBI's taxonomy places the organism in Eukaryota, Viridiplantae, Streptophyta, Magnoliopsida, Malpighiales, Salicaceae.